RNAcentral lists this long non-coding RNA (5070 nucleotides) under Sus scrofa (pig). RNAcentral's name for it is "lncRNA (ENSSSCG00005014270.1)". The record is from RNAcentral. Lineage: Eukaryota; Metazoa; Chordata; Mammalia; Artiodactyla; Suidae.
AAGUUCCAAGUCACACAAAAACAAUUUCAAAAUGGCAAGAGUGGAAAAACAAAAUUUCAAAUAACCAAGGAAUUCACGGUCUUCCUAGAGUCACUUGGAAGAGCUGCAUAAGGCCAAAAGUAGGGCCACACACAUGAACAAACAUCUUCCUUUGAUGCUCUGAUCAUCAAGGCACCACACAAUUUCACCUCAACUAGACAGCUACCAGCGUUUUGGAUAUCUUCCAACUCCUUCCCUUUAAUAACUCAUAAAAUGAAUAAUUUGGGUAGUAUAUAUUGUAACUUCUCUCUCUUCUACUCCUCCAGGGGUGUUUGGGUCACAAGUCCCAGGCAUACAAACACCAGUGUUUCCCAAAAUCCAAUGUGCAGACUGAUACAGGCCCAGGAUGAGGCUGGUAUUUUUUUUAAUCAAUUUAAAUCACAAUAAAAAAUAAAAAGAACAGGGAGUUCCCGUUGUGGCACAGCGGAAACAAUCCAACUAGGAACCACGAGGUUUCAGGUUCAAUGCCUGGCCUCACUCAGUGAGUUAAGGAUCCGGCAUUGCGGUGAGCUGUGGUGUAGGUCGCAGACACAGCUUAGAUCUGGUGUUGCUGUGGCUCUGGCACAGGCUAGCAGCUGUAGCUCCGAUUCAACCCCUAGCCUGGGAACUUCCAUAUGCCAUAGGUGCAGCCCUAAAAAGCAAAAUAAAAUAAAAAAUAAAAAGAACAUGCUUUUUACAAAGCUAAAUGUAUUCAAUUUUAAGUACCUGUCCUUUAUUUUGAAAUUAUGUCUUCUUGUAUGUUUUUAAAUGUCUUCUAUAAAAUGAUGGUGUAAGAAGAGAUGUUAUUUUUAACAUCCUUAUUUGGCAAAAUAAAAGUUGGCAAUCUUUAUAGAGUAUCUAAAUAAUGUUAAAUUUUUACUACUUAAAAAAUCCAAUGCUGUAUAAAACAAAUACUGAAAGUCUGAGAAGGGAACAAGGUUUUCUAGUCAGAGUUGGCCCUAGAGGAUAUAAAGUCAACCUCCACAUUUCUGGAAGCUUUUAUUUAUCAUACCUCAUUCAAAGAGGGGCAACCUUUGCUCCUAUUCCAUUCUAGAGAAGGCUAGGAAUUUUCUUCACAGUGUCCCUAACAUCCAUCCUAUUUUUCAGUCCUUCCAAAAUUACUUUCUGCUGGUUGUUAAAUAUGAACAUAAAAUGAUUGGGGUAUCAUGUCAACCUAUCACAAGGGGCUGUAAAAGAAUAAGAAGAUACAAGAAUAGGAAGUUCACGUGUGGCGAGGCAGGUUAAGGAUCCAGCAUUCCCGCAGCUGCGGCGCAGUGGUAACUGAGGCCCAGGUUCAAUCCCUGGCCCAGGAACUUCCACAUGCCAUAGGCACGCCACCACCCCCCCACUGCCCAAAAAAAAGAUGGUAGAAGACUAUAACAAGGUACUUUAGAACCCCUUAAAAUGGUAAAGAUUAGAGUGUGUGUAAGAAAAAUAAGUGAAUGAUUUGGACAGAAAAGAACACAACCAGGAUGAGUGAAAAUAUAAAACUAUUCUCUGAUUUAACAAUGAAUUCCAUUGCUCAAUAUGAAUUAUGAGCUGGUGAGAUGGAAUGCAAAGUGGAAAAGUUUUUCCACAAAAACAAAACAGGACUGGAUUCCAGGGCGGUCUAGACUGACCAUUAACCUAGAUUAUCCAAGAAGUACACUUAACUCAGAAUUCAGAAACAGCUCUCCCCCAACUCACAAGGCUAAAUUUGGGGAAAAGGAGGCUAAAUGCUCUUCAGGGUUAUUAAUUUGCUAAAUUCCCUUUGUCUGUAAACAAAACCAGCAAUUCUUCAUACCACUCUGAUGCUGACAGAACAGAAAGCCCUAAACUGAAAGAAAGAACCACCCUAAAUUGCCCACUUCCUGCUACACAAAAUCAGGAAAAAAAUGGAAGUUACUCUCCCAAGAGCAAAAACCAGGGGCUCAGAUUCAGCUCCUCCAAGCUAGCUUCCAUUAGGCAUUCAUCCUCUGUCAAAAUGAGUCAUGGUCAAUUACACAUCUUUUUUGUGAAAAUGUCUGCAUUACAUAAAACGUAACAUUUUUGCCAUUUUGAAGUGUACAGUUCAGUGGCACGAAGUACAUUCACAUCGUUGUGCAACCCAAAUUCUGCAACUUAAUCCUGGGUCCCUAAGGAUUCUGUAGCCUGUUACGUUUUCAUUUGCACGAAAGAAUAAAUUUUUGCUCCCCACUCCCUAAUCUGCCUACUUUUUAGGGCUCAUUCCUAAUGAGAGACUCUGGUUUUCCAUAGCACAGAAUACCAGUAAAUAUCAUUAUAACCCAGGUGCAAAACUAUCCUGAUUAAAAUUAUCCUGACGACUACACUAAGUCUCAGCUCCAUGCACUCAACUUGGCAAGUUAAUCAUGAAUGCAUCUGCCUGCAUUCCAAUGGAAUGAAAAUUUAUAAUCCCUUUUCUGCAGACUUUUUAACAUACAUAUUAACAACUUUAUUGAGAUUAUCUCUGACAUAUAGAAAUGAUGUAUUUAAGGUGUACAACUUAAUGAUUUCGUUAUAUAUAGUGGGGAAAAAAAAUCACCAUCAAAUUAAGUAACUCAUCCAUCACCUCUACAUAGUACCCGUGUGGUGUGGGUUGAUUUAAGGUCUCUUAGAAAAUUGCAAAUAUUCCUCUAAUAAAUAAAAAAUAUUCAACUAGGGAAGACUCCUCAUUUAUAUUACCACCAUGGCUAUGGUUUUAUCUAUCAGGAGCUACACAUGGGGGGGGGGGGUUAAACGGUAAAAAGAAAAAAAAAAGGGGGAGCAUAAAAUUAAAAUUAAAGACUUUGCUCAAAUAACUAAAACUCAAUUAAUUUUCACAGAAGAUAUACAGCAUAUAUCAAGAGAUACAUAGCAUAAUAGCUUUUGCUUCAUCAAUAGAUGCAGAACAUAAUAGCUUUUGCAUCAAUCUGCUACAAACAGCUUCUCCUAGCAACAACCAAUUCUCCACCAUCCUUGCCGCUUAUUAAUUUUUCAAGAUAGGGUAUUUGAGUGUACCUAUUACAUUCACAUACUGUCAAACGCAAUCAAUAUGUCAAAAUUUAUUUAAUGACAAAAUUGCACUUGGUUCCUAUAACUAGCUAGCUACUCUUUUUUUCCCUAAGACAUACGUAUACAUAAAAUACACCAGUUCUGCCAAAGGAAGAAACUACCAAUUUCCCCAUGAACUUGUCCGCUGGUUUACUAAUAAAGCUAUAUACUGUUUCAUAAAUGAGAAAACCCAGGUGUCUCAGGUUCCAUCUUCAGCUCCCGUGGCUAAGCUGCUGGAAAAAAGGAGACUUUCUUGCCUACACACUCAGUACAAUGGCUAGAUUAUCAUGAGCACUCAAGGAAUACUGACUGGGACUACUCUCACAGUGCUGACUCAUCCAUUUCCCGAGGUGAUGCUGGGGAAAUAGCCCUGGACCAUCCUGAGAACACAGCUCACAGGGUAAUUACAGUACAGACAGCAGCACAGACCAAAGAAGCACCAAGUGAAGGGCCCAGCAGCCCAGGAACAGCAAACUCUGCUAAACAAACACACUGAUCAUUUUUAGAGCUGAGGUUCUAUUUAAACCAAUUUGCAUGACAGUUCAUUUCACAGAAAUUACUUCAUAGCCUAAGGAAUCCCUUGUGAAAUCGUAGUUUCCAGCAGUACCAAUUUAAAUUUAUUUUUAAACAGGCUAAUAAAUAAUGAACUAAUCACUGAACCAUCAUGGCCUCACACAGACCUGCAUCAAAUCAGACUUGCUUAUCUCACAGGCUGCCAAUUAUUUUUACUAAAAAUUAACAAAUGCUCCAUUAGGGGAUGAAUUCUGCCCUAUUAAUAAUGAAGAUACAGAAGAGAGGAUUAAAUCGGUAAACUGGCCAUUCGUGUGACAGAAGAUUCUAAGGGAACACCAGGAGUUAAGAUUCUUAAGGAGACUUAAUGGUAGGGCUCAGUUAACUCCUGAAAAACCAGGCCAACUGGGUGGCAGAAAUCCCAUGGCGUUAACCGUGGUAUGUGCUUCCUCUGAACCACUUAUCUCGAGCCUGGAGCUUUCUUUCAUAUCUCCUCCUGCACUAGAAUUUAUAACAUUCCUCAGAGCCAAGCAAGAAUACAGACUAUCUUCCCAAAUUUUAGUGAGAAGCACUCCACCAAGACAAGGUCACCCUGCUAGUGAGGUCUGGAACAGUCCUCAGCACCACAGUCAUGAGCGUUCAGAGAACGCCGAUUUAAGGUAAUGGCCCAGCCACCAUAGCUAUGGAUCAGAGCAGCCCUUCCCAGAGAUGGUGGCCUGAGGCCAUCCAUCACCAUUCUGCAUCAGUCAUCAGGGCAGGGUACUCACUGAGUGCCAAGCACUGAGCUCAGAACUGGGUGUAAUACAUAAUUUAAUCCUGGUAAUUCUUUCAGGUGGGUACCGUCAUUCUCAUCUUAUAGAUGAGGAAACUGAGGCUCAGAAAAGUAAACUUGCCAGGUCACUCAGUAUAUCACAGAGCUCAGAUAGGAACCCAGCGUUUGACUCGAGAGCCCUGUUCUUCCAACCCCCUAAAGCUGCCACCUAAGCUGAAACCCAGGCCAUUCUGAGAAGUAGAAAAAGUGCUAGUCAGAAAAGUCAGCAGACUCACAUUUUCAUCAACUCACACUUCCUACACUUGUGACUCUGAGCCUUAAAUUCCUCUUUUAGAAAAAAAUUCAACUAAAGCCUCUCUCCACUCACAGGUUGUUGUUUAGGUAAAACAACUUAGUAAAUGGAAUCAUGAGGUAGUUCUGAUCUACAGCCCAGUGAUUUCUUUAUGGCCCUGCCUGCGGCAUAGGGAAGUUCCAGGCCAGGGACUGAACCCACCUCACAACAGCGACCCUAGCCACAGCGGUGACAAUGCCGAAUCCUAAACCCACUGAGCCACCAGGGAUUUCCACAGUCUCUUACCUUAGGAUCACACUGCUAUGUUCAUAUAACAGCCACAGAAUUGGGUGGGGAUGGAAUCUGAGAUCAACACAGAAGGCUUUUCAUCUGGGGGCCCUUCCCAGUCUGAUUUCUUCUCUUUGGGGGCAUCUGUCUGAAGGAUACUCGUUCUAGAGACAGAUGUUUCUAAUGCAUCCUCUGGCUGAGG